Molecule: non-coding RNA, 417 nt
Filed under: Naegleria gruberi
Lineage: Eukaryota; Heterolobosea; Eutetramitea; Acrasida; Naegleriidae
Description: Eukaryotic small subunit ribosomal RNA
Rfam family: Eukaryotic small subunit ribosomal RNA
Source: Rfam by way of RNAcentral
GAAAUUAAUUGCACAGAGCUGACAGGUUAAUAGCCCUUUCUUGAUUGUGUGGUGGGUAGUGCAUGGCCGUUUCCAGUUCGUGGAGUGAUCUGUCUUGUUAAUUCAGAUAACGAACGAGACCUAAGCCUUUAACUAGCCGUAGGCCUUUUCCUUCGGGGAAGGGUUAGUUUGUCGGAACAGGUUUCGGCCUGUUCCAAAACCUACGAGACUUUUGUCAGCUUCUUAAAGGGACUUCAUUCGUAAACUAGGAUGAGGAAGAUUUAGGCCAUAACAGGUCUGUGAUGCUCUUAGAUGUCCUGGGCUGCACGCGUACAACCAGCGAGCGCUAUGGUUUUAUAACCCCUUAUCCUAAUAGGAUUGGGAAAACUUUUCAAACAGUAAUCAUGCCAAGUUUGGCCAAUGGAUAACAUGGAAAGA